RNAcentral lists this non-coding RNA (90 nucleotides) under Halodesulfovibrio spirochaetisodalis. Its description in RNAcentral is "sRNA-Xcc1". It matches the Rfam family "sRNA-Xcc1". Lineage: Bacteria; Pseudomonadati; Thermodesulfobacteriota; Desulfovibrionia; Desulfovibrionales; Desulfovibrionaceae. The record is from Rfam by way of RNAcentral.
GGUCGGGAGUGCGAAGGUCAUACAACACCCGAAAGGGAAAAACCUUCCGCCGUACCUUUGGACGGUUUGAGAGCUCCUGACCUUUUUUAU